GUUAAUGUAGCUUAUAAUUAAAGCAAGGCACUGAAAAUGCCUAGAUGAGUAAUUUACUCCAUAAACA
This 67-nucleotide transfer RNA is filed under the name Proechimys brevicauda. Its description in RNAcentral is "tRNA-Phe". It matches the Rfam family "tRNA". From Rfam's summary of the family: Transfer RNA (tRNA) molecules are approximately 80 nucleotides in length. Their secondary structure includes four short double-helical elements and three loops (D, anti-codon, and T loops). Lineage: Eukaryota; Metazoa; Chordata; Mammalia; Rodentia; Echimyidae. The record is from RNAcentral.